Molecule: ribosomal RNA, 433 nt
Filed under: uncultured bacterium
Lineage: Bacteria
Description: partial 16S ribosomal RNA
Rfam family: Bacterial small subunit ribosomal RNA
Source: RNAcentral
AACGAACGCUGGCGGCAGGCCUAACACAUGCAAGUCGAGCGAGACCUUCGGGUCUAGCGGCGGACGGGUGAGUAACGCGUGGGAACGUGCCCUUUUCUACGGAAUAGCCUCGGGAAACUGAGCGUAAUACCGUAUACGCUCUUUGGGGGAAAGAUUUAUCGGAGAAGGAUCGGCCCGCGUUGGAUUAGGUUGUUGGUGGGGUAAUGGCCUACCAAGCCUACGAUCCAUAGCUGGUUUGAGAGGAUGAUCAGCCACACUGGGACUGAGACACGGCCCAGACUCCUACGGGAGGCAGCAGUGGGGAAUCUUAGACAAUGGGGGCAACCCUGAUCUAGCCAUGCCUCGUGAGUGAUGAAGUCCUUAGGGUUGUAAAGCUCUUUCAGCUGGGAAGAUAAUGACGGUACCAGCAGAAGAAGCCCCGGCUAACUCCGUG